Neopelma chrysocephalum (saffron-crested tyrant-manakin) is the source of this 2831-nucleotide long non-coding RNA. RefSeq lists it as uncharacterized. NCBI's taxonomy places the organism in Eukaryota, Metazoa, Chordata, Aves, Passeriformes, Pipridae. The transcript has 2 exons. The record is from RefSeq and is a predicted model, not a curated record.
GGCAACGGAUAAUCAGGUAGCGGCUGUGGGGCUCAGCACGGCUCCCCACCCGCCGCGCCGCUCGGCCUCGUAAUUAGAAGCCUCCACACUCCGCUGCAUAAAGGCAGAUUGCAAGGACAGCGUGAAGCCCUUGUUUGAAGCUGGGGGCACAAAGAUUGCAGUGCCUGUGAUGGAUGGAGACAAAGACUCCGAUACUGGAACGCUUCCAGCAAGCCUCCGAAUCCUCGCUGCGUUUCUGAUGGACAUUUUCAGGAUUUCUUAGAGCGGCAAAGGAGCAAAGGAAAACUGACACUUCAGUGUACCCCAGCUACAGGAGGGGAAGAGGAAGAAAAGGAUGGAGGACAGGAUCUUUGGGUGAGAAAAACCUAAGAGAGUGAAUGAAGGAAGGGUCAGUCACGUAGCCUCUUCUAAAACAGUCGCUGACUUGUAUUUUACCCUAAUUUCACCACCUUUCUGCAUCUCCUGGGCUGCCACUGUGGCUUGUUUGUGGGUUACUCUGCACCCGACCUUACCCUGCAGAGCUGCAGCUUCUCGUCCCCACAGCAGCAGCAAAGCAAACGGGAGAAAACCAAACAGCUCAGGCAACUUGAGCACAGCACAGGAACGCACUGACAAAAAGCAGCAAAGCCAAAAGUGCUUGAAUAAUAAAACAGAGGAAGAAAAACCACCAGAGCCACCCAGAAGCUGUCAACUGCCAGACAGACAAGCUCCCUUGGAAAGAGCACUGAAGGCAGGUUCAGGGAAGAGCAAUAUCCAUAAGGCAACACAGUGCCAGUGAUUUUUUUCCUCAGUUUAUAAUGACAAGUUAACAGGGGCUGGAAGAGAACAAAACAUGGAAGAUUUUCAUAGGAGAAAUCAGGACACCCUGCCAAGGACGGCUGCCCUGAACUCGAGUUAUCCCUGAACUCACAUUUGUAGGCACUUAAAACCUUAGCAAGAUCAUUAACAAGCUAAUAAGAACCACCAGCAAAAGGAGCAUAACCUGGACUCGCUAAUAUGUUUUGUUCUGAAUGAUGAAAGGGCAAAAGCAUCCAGACACUCAGUUGCUGCAGCUAAAAAAAAAUAACAAAAGAUGCUGUGAUUCACAUUGUCUCCUACCCUGCUCUUUCCAAUGCUGUUACAUUAAAGUGGUCUCCAUCCUAUCCUCCAGUCUGUCUUGUGUUCUCCCUGCUGUUCAAAAAGCACAGUAAGUGCUACAACAUCCUCCAGAAAAAUGGACUGUAACAGAUGCUGUACAGCUCGGCUUAAGAAUUUCCUUUGUCUCUGCAUGGACAAGAGCCCCUGAGCUCCAUGAGCAGCCCACUCUUCUCUGGAAAUCAGCAGAUUCAACAGCAUCACAGGAGCAAAGCAACCUCACUGAGUUGGAUCUGCAAGGACAUUCUCUCCAGACUCAUGACUUUUUCCCAUUCACCAGGGUUUGAGGGGAUAAAGGGUGGUCCUGAUUUGGCAGUCCAUGCCAACCUUGAACUCUCUAGUCUUGGUUUUGCUCUGGUUGGCUGCAUUCAGGGAAAAACCUGUUUAUGCCUUCCCUCUGAAAUGAUUUUAGAAGCUUCAGAUCCACUUUUGUGCUGGUUGUAUCACGUAUUUCAGCAAAGAGGAGCAUGGUUUCAUCACACAGUUUUUUCUGCAGCAAGAUGUGUAGUCACCUGAACAAAAUCUUUUCACCAGAUCUUUCUGGGGAACAGAUGAUGAAUACAAAUUUGGGGAACUACAAAGAGGUAAGCUGUAGGGAGCUUUUCAAUGUUUAAAAGCUGAUCCAAAUCUGUGACAUUUAGAAAGUACACAAAACCACUUUCACUUCUUUCAACUUCCCAUGCAACACGCUCGCUGCAAACAAGUGUUUGCACAAGCUGCUUCCUAGAUCUUAAAUUUAUUUAAGAAAGCACCUCUGCCAGCACCUUUCCUCCAGCCCAGUUCACUCCCUACAGCUCAGCUCCCAGGAGGACAUGCAGUAAAUCCCAUCAAUGCAGUGGGAGAGCACAGCCUGACCAUGGAGCACACGGCCCGGUUCGGCACGGCCACGAGAAAGGCUCCUGCCCGUGGUGGAGGAGGAGCAAUCCCUUUCUCCUAAGCCCUGGCCUGUGGUCUCCCAGCCUCCCAGAAGAGCAGGCCUUCCCAUUUCCCUGCCUGUGCUGCCAGCAGUGAAGCCAUGCAGACAGAGCUGGCACGGCUCCUGGUGACCCUGGAGAUGGGGCUCCUCGCUGCAAACGGCAUCAGGCGGAGCUGGAUGAGAUCAGACAUGGAGGGGAAUAGAAGGGGAACAAGAUUCCAGAGGGCUCCUCUGCCUCUGAGUCGUGUUACUGUUGACUCCUUUAUUGUGAUUAACUCCUUGACAUCCUCCUUCCGUGACAAGUGGGGGAGGACAGACUGAACUUGGUGAUUAAUUUAUCAGUGAAUUACCUCCUUCCCUUUCAAACCUCGCCCCCACUGAUGAUCUUUAUGGCUUAGCUCUAUCUUAUGAGAGGGUUUACAGCUAGAUACAGGUUUGACAGUUUUCAUUUCAUCACUGAGAAACUCUGUUUGGAGCAUUCCACGUUCCUUACACAGACGUAGUGGUAACACCAUCUGCAAGCUUCAGCCCACCCCACAAGCCCUGUAUGAGGAAAAGAAAUCCUCUCCUCCUCAACCUCUUGCUCAAAUGACAGUAAUUAGGGAACCUCAUCACUCUAGACCUGGAGAGGGAGGGGACGUUCACGGUAAUUGGAGACAUUACACGAAGCCACACUGUGCUUAUAAAACAAAAAAAAAAGAAAAACCACACAGAGAAAAAACAAGCCCCUUUCCCCCCAACCUGGUUGGCAUUUCCUAAAUAAACUGCCUUUAUUCAGGCA